This 200-nucleotide small nuclear RNA is filed under the name Colobus angolensis palliatus. Its description in RNAcentral is "U2 spliceosomal RNA (ENSCANG00000013935.1)". It matches the Rfam family "U2 spliceosomal RNA". Rfam says of the family: U2 is a small nuclear RNA (snRNA) component of the spliceosome (involved in pre-mRNA splicing). Complementary binding between U2 snRNA (in an area lying towards the 5' end but 3' to hairpin I) and the branchpoint sequence (BPS) of the intron results the bulging out of an unpaired adenosine, on the BPS, which initiates a nucleophilic attack at the intronic 5' splice site, thus starting the first of two transesterification reactions that mediate splicing. Lineage: Eukaryota; Metazoa; Chordata; Mammalia; Primates; Cercopithecidae. The record is from Rfam by way of RNAcentral.
AUCACUUCUUGGUCUUUUUGCUAAGAUCAACUGUGGUAUCUGUUUUUGUUAGUUUAAUGUGUGAUUCAUCCCUUAUCUGAGACAAUAUAUUAAAUGGACUUUUAGAACUAGGAGAUGGACUAGAAAGUUGCUCCACCUACUUCAUGCCUCCUCCACACAUUGUCUUGAUAUUGCAGUACUUCCACAAAAAAGAAAAGAAA